UGGAAGUAAAAGUCGUAACAAGGUUUCCGUAGGUGAACCUGCGGAAGGAUCAUUACCGAGUUUUCGGGCUUCGGCUCGACUCUCCCACCCUUUGUGAACGUACCUCUGUUGCUUUGGCGGCUCCGGCCGCCAAAGGACCUUCAAACUCCAGUCAGUAAACGCAGACGUCUGAUAAACAAGUUAAUAAACUAAAACUUUCAACAACGGAUCUCUUGGUUCUGGCAUCGAUGAAGAACGCAGCGAAAUGCGAUAAGUAAUGUGAAUUGCAGAAUUCAGUGAAUCAUCGAAUCUUUGAACGCACAUUGCGCCCCUUGGUAUUCCGGGGGGCAUGCCUGUUCGAGCGUCAUUACAACCCUCAAGCUCUGCUUGGAAUUGGGCACCGUCCUCAUUGCGGACGCGCCUCAAAGACCUCGGCGGUGGCUGUUCAGCCCUCAAGCGUAGUAGAAUACACCUCGCUUUGGAGCGGUUGGCGUCGCCCGCCGGACGAACCUUCUGAACUUUUCUCAAGGUUGACCUCGGAUCAGGUAGGGAUACCCGCUGAACUUAAGCAUAUCAAUAAGCGGAGGAA
RNAcentral lists this ribosomal RNA (568 nucleotides) under fungal sp. ARIZ B368. RNAcentral describes it as "eukaryotic LSU rRNA". The stretch from base 193 to 346 matches the Rfam family "5.8S ribosomal RNA". Lineage: Eukaryota; Fungi. The record is from RNAcentral.